RNAcentral lists this unclassified non-coding RNA (468 nucleotides) under Nassella neesiana. RNAcentral describes it as "partial external transcribed spacer 1". The record is from RNAcentral. Lineage: Eukaryota; Viridiplantae; Streptophyta; Magnoliopsida; Poales; Poaceae.
GUAGCACGUCCUCAUCGACGAGCCGACAUGGAGACUGGCACACGCCAGCCAGCUAGUGGCAUGAAGUGGCAAUCACCGAGCCGACUGUCGUACAUUGAGAGAGCUUUCGUUAGGGAUGCGACCGCAACGGGUCACGAGCCUUUAUCAUUUGCAACAUCCGAAACCAAUAGUGCGAGCGAGGUGGCCUUGGAAGCACCGGGCACGUAGGGCACCAGCACCACGAGGCAACGCCGCACGAACUAUUAGGCCGCAGCGGAACUCCCUUGGGGGUCCACAGCGAGGCAACCGUGUAUGAAGCACAACUUCCCGUAGUUUGGGUACCAGCAUGCAAGCACUCGUCGAUGGAGCGGAAUGGUUAGAACCGCAAGAAUGAUAGGAUAUCGGCGCCAGUAGUCGGCCGCACAUCGGCGGGGGUCCUGCUGGCAGACACGAGUCCAAGACAACUCAUGCGCUCGCGUAGCCAACUGG